CGCGUAGGCGGUGCUGUAAGUCAGGCGUGAAAUCCCCGGGCUCAGCCUGGGAAUUGCGCAUGAUACUGCGGCGCUGGAAUGCGGGAGAGGAUGGCGGAAUUCCCAGUGUAGAGGUGAAAUUCGUAGAUAUUGGGAAGAACACCGGUGGCGAAGGCGGCCAUCUGGCCCGUGAUUGACGCUGAGGCGCGAAAGCGUGGGAGCAAACA
This 206-nucleotide ribosomal RNA is filed under the name uncultured bacterium. RNAcentral's name for it is "partial 16S ribosomal RNA". It matches the Rfam family "Bacterial small subunit ribosomal RNA", at positions 568 to 774 of the family's 1533-position model. The record is from RNAcentral.